CCUACGGGAGGCAGCAGUGGGGAAUAUUGCACAAUGGGGGAAACCCUGAUGCAGCGACGCCGCGUGAGUGAAGAAGUAUUUCGGUACGUAAAGCUCUAUCAGCAGGGAAGAAAAUGACGGUACCUGACUAAGAAGCCCCGGCUAACUACGUGCCAGCAGCCGCGGUAAUACGUAGGGGGCAAGCGUUGUCCGGAUUUACUGGGUGUAAAGGGAGCGUAGACGGCAGCGCAAGUCUGGAGUGAAAUCCCAUGGCUUAACCAUGGAACUGCUUUGGAAACUGUGCAGCUAGAGUGCAGGAGAGGUAAGCGGAAUUCCUAGUGUAGCGGUGAAAUGCGUAGAUAUUAGGAGGAACACCAGUGGCGAAGGCGGCUUACUGGACUGUAACUGACGUUGAGGCUCGAAAGCGUGGGGAGCAAACAGGAUUAGAUACCCGAGUAGUC
This 440-nucleotide ribosomal RNA is filed under the name uncultured bacterium. RNAcentral's name for it is "partial 16S ribosomal RNA". It matches the Rfam family "Bacterial small subunit ribosomal RNA", at positions 338 to 795 of the family's 1533-position model. The record is from RNAcentral.